UACGGUGCUGAAGCAACAAAUGCCCUGCUUCCAGGAAAAGCCUCUAAGCAUCAGGUAACAUCAAAUCGUACCCCAAACCGACACAGGUGGUCAGGUAGAGAAUACCAAGGCGCUUGAGAGAACUCGGGUGAAGGAACUAGGCAAAAUGGUGCCGUAACUUCGGGAGAAGGCACGCUGAUAUGUAGGUGAAGUCCCUCGCGGAUGGAGCUGAAAUCAGUCGAAGAUACCAGCUGGCUGCAACUGUUUAUUAAAAACACAGCACUGUGCAAACACGAAAGUGGACGUAUACGGUGUGACGCCUGCCCGGUGCCGGAAGGUUAAUUGAUGGGGUCAGCGCAAGCGAAGCUCUUGAUCGAAGCCCCGGUAAACGGCGGCCGUAACUAUAACGGUCCUAAGGUAGCGAAAUUCCUUGUCGGGUAAGUUCCGACCUGCACGAAUGGCGUAAUGAUGGCCAGGCUGUCUCCACCCGAGACUCAGUGAAAUUGAACUCGCUGUGAAGAUGCAGUGUACCCGCGGCAAGACGGAAAGACCCCGUGAACCUUUACUAUAGCUUGACACUGAACAUUGAGCCUUGAUGUGUAGGAUAGGUGGGAGGCUUUGAAGUGUGGACGCCAGUCUGCAUGGAGCCGACCUUGAAAUACCACCCUUUAAUGUUUGAUGUUCUAACGUGGACCCGUGAUCCGGGUUGCGGACAGUGUCUGGUGGGUAGUUUGACUGGGGCGGUCUCCUCCUAAAGAGUAACGGAGGAGCACGAAGGUUGGCUAAUCCUGGUCGGACAUCAGGAGGUUAGUGCAAUGGCAUAAGCCAGCUUGACUGCGAGCGUGACGGCGCGAGCAGGUGCGAAAGCAGGUCAUAGUGAUCCGGUGGUUCUGAAUGGAAGGGCCAUCGCUCAACGGAUAAAAGGUACUCCGGGGAUAACAGGCUGAUACCGCCCAAGAGUUCAUAUCGACGGCGGUGUUUGGCACCUCGAUGUCGGCUCAUCACAUCCUGGGGCUGAAGUAGGUCCCAAGGGUAUGGCUGUUCGCCAUUUAAAGUGGUACGCGAGCUGGGUUUAGAACGUCGUGAGACAGUUCGGUCCCUAUCUGCCGUGGGCGCUGGAGAACUGAGGGGGGCUGCUCCUAGUACGAGAGGACCGGAGUGGACGCAUCACUGGUGUUCGGGUUGUCAUGCCAAUGGCACUGCCCGGUAGCUAAAUGCGGAAGAGAUAAGUGCUGAAAGCAUCUAAGCACGAAACUUGCCCCGAGAUGAGUUCUCCCUGACCCUUUAAGGGUCCUGAAGGAACGUUGAAGACGACGACGUUGAUAGGCCGGGUGUGUAAGCGCAGCGAUGCGUUGAGCUAACCGGUACUAAUGAACCGUGAGGCUUAACCUU
RNAcentral lists this ribosomal RNA (1371 nucleotides) under Escherichia coli. Its description in RNAcentral is "partial 23S ribosomal RNA". It matches the Rfam family "Bacterial large subunit ribosomal RNA", at positions 1578 to 2925 of the family's 2925-position model. Lineage: Bacteria; Pseudomonadati; Pseudomonadota; Gammaproteobacteria; Enterobacterales; Enterobacteriaceae. The record is from RNAcentral.